GGAUGCAGCAGUGGGGAAUUUUGGACAAUGGGCGAAAGCCUGAUCCAGCAAUGCCGCGUGUGUGAAGAAGGCCUUCGGGUUGUAAAGCACUUUUGUCCGGAAAGAAAUCCUUGGCUCUAAUACAGUCGGGGGAUGACGGUACCGGAAGAAUAAGCACCGGCUAACUACGUGCCAGCAGCCGCGGUAAUACGUAGGGUGCGAGCGUUAAUCGGAAUUACUGGGCGCAAAGCGUGCGCAGGCGGUUUGCUAAGACCGAUGUGAAAUCCCCGGGCUCAACCUGGGAACUGCAUUGGUGACUGGCAGGCUAGAGUAUGGCAGAGGGGGGUAGAACUCCACGUGUAGCAGUGAAAUGCGUAGAGAUGUGGAGGAAUACCGAUGGCGAAGGCAGCCCCCUGGGCCAAUACUGACGCUCAUGCACGAAAGCGUGGGGAGCAAACAGGAUUAGAUACCCUGGUAGUCCACGCCCUAAACGAUGUCAACUAGUUGUUGGGGAUUCAUUUCCUUAGUAACGUAGCUAACGCGUGAAGUUGACCGCCUGGGGAGUACGGUCGCAAGAUUAAAACUCAAAGGAAUUGACGGGGACCCGCACAAGCGGUGGAUGAUGUGGAUUAAUUCGAUGCAACGCGAAAAACCUUACCUACCCUUGACAUGGUCGGAAUCCCGCUGAGAGGUGGGAGUGCUCGAAAGAGAACCGGCGCACAGGUGCUGCAUGGCUGUCGUCAGCUCGUGUCGUGAGAUGUUGGGUUAAGUCCCGCAACGAGCGCAACCCUUAUCCUUAGUUGCUACGCAAGAGCACUCUAAGGAGACUGCCGGUGACAAACCGGAGGAAGGUGGGGAUGACGUCAAGUCCUCAUGGCCCUUAUGGGUAGGGCUUCACACGUCAUACAAUGGUCGGAACAGAGGGUUGCCAACCCGCGAGGGGGAGCUAAUCCCAGAAAACCGAUCGUAGUCCGGAUUGCACUCUGCAACUCGAGUGCAUGAAGCUGGAAUCGCUAGUAAUCGCGGAUCAGCAUG
This 1014-nucleotide ribosomal RNA is filed under the name uncultured Burkholderia sp. RNAcentral's name for it is "bacterial SSU rRNA". It matches the Rfam family "Bacterial small subunit ribosomal RNA", at positions 344 to 1356 of the family's 1533-position model. The record is from RNAcentral. Lineage: Bacteria; Pseudomonadati; Pseudomonadota; Betaproteobacteria; Burkholderiales; Burkholderiaceae.